This 79-nucleotide ribosomal RNA is filed under the name Coronilla valentina subsp. glauca. RNAcentral describes it as "partial 28S ribosomal RNA". It matches the Rfam family "Eukaryotic large subunit ribosomal RNA", at positions 1 to 78 of the family's 3401-position model. Lineage: Eukaryota; Viridiplantae; Streptophyta; Magnoliopsida; Fabales; Fabaceae. The record is from RNAcentral.
GAGACCUCAGGUCAGGCGGGGCUACCCGCUGAGUUUAAGCAUAUCAAUAAGCGGAGGAAAAGAAACUAACAAGGAUUCC